RNAcentral lists this ribosomal RNA (473 nucleotides) under uncultured bacterium. RNAcentral describes it as "SSU rRNA". It matches the Rfam family "Bacterial small subunit ribosomal RNA", at positions 26 to 518 of the family's 1533-position model. The record is from RNAcentral.
AGGACGAACGCUGGCGGCGUGCUUAACACAUGCAAGUCGAGCGGAAAGGCCCUUCGGGGUACUCGAGCGGCGAACGGGUGAGUAACACGUGAGCAACCUGCCCUUAGCUCUGGGAUAGCUCCGGGAAACCGGAAUUAAUACCGGAUAUGACCUAGGCCGACAUCGGCCGUGGUGGAAAGUUUUUCGGCUAGGGAUGGACUCGCGGCCUAUCAGCUAGUUGGUGGGGUAAUGGCCUACCAAGGCGACGACGGGUAGCCGGCCUGAGAGGGCGACCGGCCACACUGGGACUGAGACACGGCCCAGACUCCUACGGGAGGCAGCAGUGGGGAAUCUUGCGCAAUGGGCGAAAGCCUGACGCAGCGACGCCGCGUGGGGGAUGAAGGCCUUCGGGUUGUAACCCCUUUCAGCAGGGACGAAGCGAAAGUGACGGUACCUGCAGAAGAAGCGCCGGCUAACUACGUGCCAGCAGCCGC